UACAGAGGGUGCGAGCGUUAAUCGGAAUUACUGGGCGUAAAGCGUGCGUAGACGGUUAUUUAAGUCGGAUGUGAAAGCCCCGGGCUCAACCUGGGAAUUGCAUUCGAGACUGAAUAGCUAGGGUGCGGUAGAGGGAAGCGGAAUUUCCGGUGUAGCGGUGAAAUGCGCAGAUAUCAGGAAGAACACCAAUGGCGAAGGCAGCUCUCUGGGACGGUACUGACGCUGAGACGCGAAAGCGUGGGGAGCGAACAGG
Molecule: ribosomal RNA, 253 nt
Filed under: uncultured bacterium
Lineage: Bacteria
Description: partial 16S ribosomal RNA
Rfam family: Bacterial small subunit ribosomal RNA
Source: RNAcentral